RNAcentral lists this ribosomal RNA (253 nucleotides) under uncultured bacterium. RNAcentral describes it as "partial 16S ribosomal RNA". It matches the Rfam family "Bacterial small subunit ribosomal RNA", at positions 524 to 776 of the family's 1533-position model. The record is from RNAcentral.
UACGAAGGGGGCAAGCGUUGUUCGGAAUUACUGGGCGUAAAGGGCGCGUAGGCGGCUUAUCAAGUCAGGCGUGAAAUUCCCGGGCUCAACCUGGGGGCUGCGCUUGAUACUGAUUGGCUUGAAUGCGGGAGAGGAUAGUGGAAUUCCCAGUGUAGAGGUGAAAUUCGUAGAUAUUGGGAAGAACACCGAUGGCGAAGGCAGCCAUCUGGACCGACACUGACGCUGAGGCGCGAAAGCGUGGGGAGCAAACAGG